AUUGAACGCUGGCGGCAGGCUUAACACAUGCAAGUCGAGCGAGCGGCGGAGGGGUGAGUAAUGUCUGGGAAACUGUCUGAUGGAGGGGGAUAAAUACUGGAAACGGUAGCUAUUACCGCAUACCAUCAGAUGUGCCCAGAGGGGAUUAGCGAGUAUGGGGGGGAAUGGCUCUCCGAGGCGACGCUCCCUAGCUGGUCUGAGAGGAUGACCAGCCAAACUGGAACUGAGACACGGUCCAGACUCCUACGGGAGGCAGCAGUGGGGAAUAUUGCACAAUGGGCGAAAUCCUGAUGCAGCCAUGCCGCGUGUGUGAAGAAGGCCUUCGGGUUGUAAAGCACUUUCAGCGAGGAGGCGUUACUCGCAGAAGAAGCACCGGCUAACUCCGUGCCAGCAGCCGCGGUAAUAC
RNAcentral lists this ribosomal RNA (406 nucleotides) under uncultured bacterium. Its description in RNAcentral is "partial 16S ribosomal RNA". It matches the Rfam family "Bacterial small subunit ribosomal RNA", at positions 30 to 526 of the family's 1533-position model. The record is from RNAcentral.